UUUGGAAAAUUAUCGUUUUAGUCCAUAAAAUUAGGAGACUAAACCUGGUUUUAUUUUAUGCAUUGGGAUCUCUUGUUUGAGUUGCUUUUGAGUAUAUUUUCAUAUUGUUGUAGGUUCUCCUAACGAUCCUCAAUAGGAUUUUCGGGUCUUUCGUCUGACAUUCCUUUUAAUUCUAUAUUUUCCGGGUUCUUAGUUUCUGAUAGCAGGUGAACUUUGUUGAGUGUUCCUGCUUCUUCAGUUUUGGGUCAGUAUGCCUUGCUUAUCUUUCAAGGCUGUUUGAUUCGAUGUCUUAGGCGCUCCACUAUUACCUUGUUUUAAUUAAGUUUGGAUUUUGACAAUGUAAUGAGUAUUAUGGAUUAUUAUUUUUGUUUUAAUUACUGAUGAGGAGUUUUAAACUAUCUUUUGGUUUCAUCAGUUUUGAAUAAUAUAAGAUUUCUGAAGAUUAUGAAA
Populus trichocarpa (black cottonwood) is the source of this 450-nucleotide long non-coding RNA. RefSeq lists it as uncharacterized. The transcript is spliced from 2 exons. Lineage: Eukaryota; Viridiplantae; Streptophyta; Magnoliopsida; Malpighiales; Salicaceae. The record is from RefSeq and is a predicted model, not a curated record.